This 501-nucleotide ribosomal RNA is filed under the name Pseudomonas sp. RNAcentral's name for it is "bacterial SSU rRNA". Lineage: Bacteria; Pseudomonadati; Pseudomonadota; Gammaproteobacteria; Pseudomonadales; Pseudomonadaceae. The record is from RNAcentral.
UAACACAUGCAAGUCGAGCGGUAGAGAGAAGCUUGCUUCUCUUGAGAGCGGCGGACGGGUGAGUAAUGCKCUAGGAAUCUGCCUGGUAGUGGGGGAUAACGUYCGGAAACGGACGCUAAUACCGCAUACGUCCUACGGGAGAAAGCAGGGGACCUUCGGGCCUUGCGCUAUCAGAUGAGCCUAGGUCGGAUUAGCUAGUUGGUGGGGUAAUGGCUCACCAAGGCGACGAUCCGUAACUGGUCUGAGAGGAUGAUCAGUCACACUGGAACUGAGACACGGUCCAGACUCCUACGGGAGGCAGCAGUGGGGAAUAUUGGACAAUGGGCGAAAGCCUGAUCCAGCCAUGCCGCGUGUGUGAAGAAGGUCUUCGGAUUGUAAAGCACUUUAAGUUGGGAGGAAGGGCAGUAAAUUAAUACUUUGCUGUUUUGACGUUACCGGCAGAAUAAGCACCGGCUAACUCUGUGCCAGCAGCCGCGGUAAUACAGAGGGUGCAAGCGUUAA